RNAcentral lists this transfer RNA (62 nucleotides) under Petalocephala ochracea. Its description in RNAcentral is "tRNA-Tyr". Lineage: Eukaryota; Metazoa; Arthropoda; Insecta; Hemiptera; Cicadellidae. The record is from RNAcentral.
GUUAAGGUGUCUGAAUAAAGUAGUAAACUGUAAAUUUACCCAAGAAAUAAAUUUCCUUUAAU